Molecule: RNA transcript, 3341 nt
Organism: Gasterosteus aculeatus aculeatus (three-spined stickleback)
Lineage: Eukaryota; Metazoa; Chordata; Actinopteri; Perciformes; Gasterosteidae
Gene: pdgfab
Gene name: platelet-derived growth factor alpha polypeptide b
Source: RefSeq, a predicted model, not a curated record
UAUCCCGCUGCUCAGAGGCGCUCCGGCUCCAUUCACUCCAGAGUCCCGCACUGUCAAGGACCCGCGCAGACCGGUGCAAGGCGAGCUCUGGAUAGCACACACAAAAAAAGGAAGACUUCUCUCUUGUGAUUUUCCAAAAGGAUCUGCGCGAUUGGAUUACAUUCUUCUAGGACUAUUAAAUACUAUCAAAGAAAAAAAAACUAACCGUGCGUCUAUAUUCUGGUUAUUCUGACGGCCGCGCGUCUUGUUUGAUAUUCCAGUGAACUGGGCUGAAGUUGGGAGCCGCUCGUUUGUUAAAGGGUGAAGGACAAGUGCAAUGCUCUUCAGACCUGUCCGUGCCUGAGGAGCUGCGUAUCGAGCAGCCACGCAGAUCUCCUUGGAGAGGACGCGGUCCAAUGUGAAUACCCAGAGACAACGUCCAGCCACUUCAGCUUUUUUUUUUUUUUUUUUUUUUUGCUUUUUUUGCUUACAGCUGCAAACAAGUGCACGGAGUUCGACCGAGCCCGCUGAGCAGCUCGGACACCCCGGUUUUACCCCCUCCCUAGAGGGGAUGGUUGUGGGUCCUGUGGGGCCAGGAGCGAUUCUGCGGCUCCUACAGAUUAGCACCUUUUUCUCGUUCGGGGUUCGAUCUGAAUCAAAGGGAGAUGAGAGCCGCACUUUGUUACUUCCUGCUGUGGACGACGUACCUGCUGCUGGCCACCUCUGAGGAAGUGGAGUUUCCCCAGGAGCUGAUAGACAGACUGUCCCACAGUGAAAUCCACAGCAUCAGCGACCUCCAGCGGCUACUGGACAUUGACUCCGUAGGUACGGGAAACAAUGUCAUCGAGGAACCCAAGCACCACAAGCACCACAACCAGCAUAAGAACUACUCCCGUCAACACGGUUACUACAGCGACCUGAAGAGCUCGCAGCUCCACAGCCGACGCAAGAGGAGCAUCGUAGAGGAGGCGGUCCCGGCGGCGUGCAAGACGCGGACGGUGAUCUACGAGAUCCCCAGGAGCCAGGUGGACCCCACGUCUGUCAACUUCCUGAUAUGGCCGCCCUGCGUGGAGGUGAAACGCUGCACAGGCUGUUGCAACACGAGCAACAUGCGCUGUCACCCGUCCCGCAAGCACCAUCGCACCGUUAAGGUGGCAAAGGUGGAGUACGUGAAGAGGAGACCCAAGCUGAAAGAGGUCUUUGUGCGGUUAGAAGACCACCUGGAGUGUGUGUGCACGUCACAACAUCAUGUGGUGGAGCACUCAGAUGCAGAAAUAGGCCACCGUAGGGCUAAAGGUAAAAAAAGAAAACCUAAAAAGCUAAGACCCAGCAAGGAUUUAUUGGCGACAUAAUAAAAGUUGCACUCAGUACCCAAAGUCCACUGAAGAGCUGUGAAGGUUGAACAGUGGACGUGAGGUGAGAGCAAUCGGAGCAAACGACUUCAGCGUGGGAGGGAACUAAGAAAAAAGGAUGUUUUUAGCAACAGGAGGCCCGCUCAGUCCUCUUCCACACCGCCAAUGCGACCUUCAUUUGAAAAAAAGGACAAACUUGAGACUGAAAACAAACACCUAAAAGAAUGCCAAAUGGAACGUCACCUGCCCGGUCACAACUGAUCCCUGCCACUGAUUGAAAGAGGAAAGGAAAAGAGAAAGAUGUGGUAUCUCGGCCAGGGCAGACAGAAGCUGAAGGGAGACGAUGAAAGGGAUUCGCGUUGGACAUUUUGAGACUUUGUUGGACAAGAUGCACAACAAAAACAGCUAUAAAACAGUUGGAUCAAACUUUGGUUGGGUUCCUGUGAUCAGACUCCAAAAAACGGCGGCGGGUGACCUCCAGCCGGGCGACAUAAAAGUUCCCUGCCCCGAUAGAAUGACUCUUUCUCACAAAGUAAGAAAAGAGCGAGACAAACGGAAGUGUUUUUUUUUUUCUUCCAAAAACUCUGUGGAGGAUGAAACAUUUUUAGUUGUUGGAUGUUGCCAAGAGAAGAUCUUCUCUGAGACUCUUGGUGGUCUGUGACUUUGCCCAGUUGCUAUGUACAGUUCAAUUUGAAAAGGAAGAUGUGCCGCUACUUAAAAACUAUUUAUAUGUGUGGACGUUUGAUUUCUGUCUCUUCCAGAACAAAAGAAAGAACAAAAGAUUUUUUUAAUGAUUUUGGAGACAUGCGAAGAGUUCUGUGUGGUUCAGUUGUUUGUAACCAUCAGUAUCACGAUCUCAACGUCGUUAUUUUUAGUCAAUGUUAUUGUUUUCAUCCAUGUUUCUUAUUAUAUUACAGUAUAUCUGAAUGAUGUCAAGUCUUGUAUAUGGUUUGGAUACAUGUGUGCGAGGAGAUAUGAGAGUCAGUACAGGAAGAUGCUUUAUUUUUGUUAUGAAAUAUAUUAAGCUUACUUAUAUCCAAGCAGGAAUUAUGUUUAUUUCGUUUUUGUGAUCCCCGUAUUUAAUCCAGUGGAUAAGAUGCAAAACUGUGGGAAGGAGGUGGAAUUCGACAAGGGAGAGAAAUCUGCCACUGCCCAGUUUUUUAUAUUCACAAAAUUAUGCAUACAGCACAUUAAAGUAUGUUCAUGCCAAUCACAAAAAAAGAUGUUCGAGCAACUUUAGCGUACGUGUAUGCCAGAAUGACCCCUAAUUUAUCCCCUACAUGAGGCCACACACACACUCCUAACAUUGCUGAUGAAGAUACCUGCCUUUGCCUUUGCUCAUUGUUCCCGCAAUGAGCAAAGUCCACCUUAAAGAGUGAAUGAGCGCGCAAAGCCAAUCGACAAGCCCAUGAAUGGGCUCCUUGUUUGGUUACGCUUUACCCUUCUGACGACAGGAGAGCAAAUCACUGGCCACUCCACCCUGUGAAGAUACUGGCACCGUAAGCAGACUCAUUCCAUCAGGAUAGAUAGAUUCAUUCUAAGGGGGUGGCCCAACGUCAGCACAGUGCUGCCCUGAACCCACUGACGGAACAGUUACAUCAUUACAUGAUGCAUGUGGAACCGGUCAAAAACAACGGUGGUCUUCCGUGUGCAAAUGAGGGAUUCAAAGACGAAAAGAGUGAGCUAUGCUGGGAAAUGAGUCAAUUCAAAGUCAAGCGAGAAAGGUUGAAUUGAAACACGGCAGAUAACACACCGUCCAUCUGUGAAUUGAGCAACAAUGAGUUGACUGGUGCUAUAUUUAUAAAGCUGCUGUUCCAUCACCGCUUGCAUUCACACCCAUGUAAGAUAGUGUUCUCAGUAACGCAGGGACCAUGCUUAGAGAUAUUUAAAUAAAUAAAAUGCCAUUACACUAAACCUUUAUUCCUUUUCUUUUGGCCUUCCAUUGGAUAAAGACAGCAAUAAUCAUAAUUUAUAUAUUUAUGUUUUCAACAAUAAAUAUAUUUCUGCUUA